AACGCUGGCGGCGUGCUUAACACAUGCAAGUCGAACUGGAAAGGCCCUGCUUUUGUGGGGUGCUCGAGUGGCGAACGGGUGAGUAACACGUGAGUAACCUGCCCUUGACUUUGGGAUAACUUCAGGAAACUGGGGCUAAUACCGGAUAGGAGCUCCUGCUGCAUGGUGGGGGUUGGAAAGUUUCGGCGGUUGGGGAUGGACUCGCGGCUUAUCAGCUUGUUGGUGGGGUAGUGGCUUACCAAGGCUUUGACGGGUAGCCGGCCUGAGAGGGUGACCGGCCACAUUGGGACUGAGAUACGGCCCAGACUCCUACGGGAGGCAGCAGUGGGGAAUAUUGCACAAUGGGCGGAAGCCUGAUGCAGCAACGCCGCGUGCGGGAUGACGGCCUUCGGGUUGUAAACCGCUUUCGCCUGUGACGAAGCGUGAGUGACGGUAAUGGGUAAAGAAGCACCGGCUAACUACGUGCCAGCAGCCGCGGUGAUACGUAGGGUGCGAGCGUUGUCCGGAUUUAUUGGGCGUAAAGGGCUCGUAGGUGGUUGAUCGCGUCGGAAGUGUAAUCUUGGGGCUUAACCCUGAGCGUGCUUUCGAUACGGGUUGACUUGAGGAAGGUAGGGGAGAAUGGAAUUCCUGGUGGAGCGGUGGAAUGCGCAGAUAUCAGGAGGAACACCAGUGGCGAAGGCGGUUCUCUGGGCCUUUCCUGACGCUGAGGAGCGAAAGCGUGGGGAGCGAACAGGCUUAGAUACCCUGGUAGUCCACGCUGUAAACGGUGGGUACUAGGUGUGGGGUCCAUUCCACGGGUUCCGUGCCGUAGCUAACGCUUUAAGUACCCCGCCUGGGGAGUACGGCCGCAAGGCUAAAACUCAAAGGAAUUGACGGGGCCCCGCACAAGCGGCGGAGCAUGCGGAUUAAUUCGAUGCAACGCGUAGAACCUUACCUGGGUUUGACAUGGAUCGGGAGUGCUCAGAGAUGGGUGUGCCUCUUUUGGGGUCGGUUCACAGGUGGUGCAUGGCUGUCGUCAGCUCGUGUCGUGAGAUGUUGGGUUAAGUCCCGCAACGAGCGCAACCCUUGUUCACUGUUGCCAGCACGUUAUGGUGGGGACUCAGUGGAGACCGCCGGGGUCAACUCGGAGGAAGGUGGGGAUGACGUCAAGUCAUCAUGCCCCUUAUGUCCAGGGCUUCACGCAUGCUACAAUGGCUGGUACAGAGAGUGGCGAGCCUGUGAGGGUGAGCGAAUCUCGGAAAGCCGGUCUCAGUUCGGAUUGGGGUCUGCAACUCGACCUCAUGAAGUCGGAGUCGCUAGUAAUCGCAGAUCAGCAACGCUGCGGUGAAUACGUUCCCGGGGCUUGUACACACCGCCCGUCAAGUCAUGAAAGUUGGUAACACCCGAAGCCGGUGGCCUAACCGUUGUGGGGGAGCCGUCGAAGGUGGGACUGGUGAUUAGG
Molecule: ribosomal RNA, 1441 nt
Filed under: uncultured organism
Description: 16S ribosomal RNA
Rfam family: Bacterial small subunit ribosomal RNA
Source: RNAcentral